UGAUGACAAUUCUCCGGAAUCUCUGAACAUCAUUGAUGAUUCCUUUUGAACCUUAUUUGCUGAUGACUGUUGACGCUGUC
Molecule: small nucleolar RNA, 80 nt
Organism: Carassius auratus (goldfish)
Lineage: Eukaryota; Metazoa; Chordata; Actinopteri; Cypriniformes; Cyprinidae
Gene: SNORD68
Product: small nucleolar RNA MBII-202
Source: Ensembl